This 601-nucleotide unclassified non-coding RNA is filed under the name Hevea brasiliensis (rubber tree). Lineage: Eukaryota; Viridiplantae; Streptophyta; Magnoliopsida; Malpighiales; Euphorbiaceae. The record is from RNAcentral.
GGAGUCUGUCUUGGCAUGCAUUUUGAAAGAGAGAGGUAUUGCCAAGAAAGGAAGGAACACUAUGACGGGGAGAGAAGCAAGGACAGGGAGAGGAUUUAUGAGGGGUUUUUGAAUCACGAGACAAGGAAAUUGUUUGGUAACGGGUAACAAUGGUCUCUGCUUUUGGUUUGUUUCGUUUUGUGGAAAAAAAAAAGUAAUACAAUAAUUUAGAAAAAGCUGCAUAUGAAACCACGCGCACGUAUUGUUGACGCUUUUACCUGCCGCAGUGUUUGAACUUUCAAAGGCUAAUCGUCGGAUAAAAUAAAUCCAAGGGUGAAAACAGUGGAGGUGUCAUGCACAUUCGCUGGUCCACUCGCGGAUGUAACAUGGAACAGUUGGGGCUGACAGGGAAGGCAAACCGGAUGUAAUUGGCAAAUUGCUACGCACAAGCAAACACUACAACGAAUGGCGCACUGUGGAGCACCUGCAACCUUUAUACUGUCAUAUCUCCUUCGAUUUUCACCAGAAUCAUGAACUUAGAGUCUGCAAAUGCCAUCAUUGUCAACCAGGUAAGGAUGCUAGGUAAGGACAUUUAUGAUCAAAGAAUUGUUCAAAAAAUAUU